ACCGGGCGCGGUGGUGCACGCCUGUGAUCCCGGCGGCUCGGGAGGCUGAGGCAGGAGGAUCGCGAGGCCAAAGCCAGCCUCCGCCAAAGGGAGGCCGUCAGCAACUCAGGGAGACCCUGUCUCUA
Molecule: small RNA, 125 nt
Filed under: Marmota monax (woodchuck)
Lineage: Eukaryota; Metazoa; Chordata; Mammalia; Rodentia; Sciuridae
Source: RNAcentral